This 200-nucleotide ribosomal RNA is filed under the name uncultured bacterium. RNAcentral's name for it is "partial 16S ribosomal RNA". It matches the Rfam family "Bacterial small subunit ribosomal RNA", at positions 524 to 723 of the family's 1533-position model. The record is from RNAcentral.
UACGGAGGGUGCGAGCGUUAAUCGGAAUUACUGGGCGUAAAGCGCGCGUAGGCGGUUAAUUAAGUCAGAUGUGAAAUCCCAGGGCUCAACCUUGGAACUGCAUUUGAAACUGGUUAACUAGAGUUUUGUAGAGGGUGGUAGAAUUUCAGGUGUAGCGGUGAAAUGCGUAGAGAUCUGAAGGAAUACCAGUGGCGAAGGCG